CUGCUUCACUCUAAGAGGAAAAACGAAACAAAAAGCACCUCGAACUCUGUUCCCAGGAGCCCCGCGGCGGGGGAAGUAAACGUUGGCCAAUGAGGGCAGCUUUCCCUGGCCCCGCCCCUGCGGCGUUCCCGCCUUUUGCCUCCGGUGGGAGGGAAGAGGUUUCUCAAGCACAGCACAGGCGUUGUCAAGGGAAGGUAACUGCUCGCAAAAAGCACGUGCUGCGAGGGACACAGGGAGCCAAAAAAGCCAAAUAGUUAAGGGGCGAAAAGUGUCUAUUAGGGUGAGGCCAAAGAGCGAAAAAAACACAGAGAACGAAGGUUAUUUCUGCCAAGCUGGGGAGAGCAACACGCUGGCCGAGUGGAAGGCUGAGGAGAUUCCUGAGAUGUUUGAGGAAAACAUCCAGCUAAGGGGGAAAAAAGUGAGGAAUUUUGAAAUGGGACACUUACCUGCACUGUGAGCAGAUCUCACAUAGGGGAAUCAGAGAGUGGCCCACCAGUGAGACCAUCCUCCCUGGACAAGUUCUUCAAACACUAUGAGAGUUUCUUUGUUAUUUGCCACAUGUUUCAGUGACGAACAUCAUUACCAGUCAAGCAACAGAAUGAGGAAUGGUUUGAUCCUUUUCACCCAGUGAUGUACUGCUCUAAAUUCCAAUCCCAGCAGGAAAACUGUCUCCUGUUAAGAAGCAUCCAAGAGCUCACAACCAGGUCCCAUCUCCAGCAUGCACAGCAUGGGUGGUUAACACAGCAGCAGCAAACACUGGGGAAGUGAGUCUAUAAAGAGGUAGCAUAAUUGAGGAGCUAAGCAUGAUUGUUUCAAAUUAUGGAAAUCAUUUUCACCUAAGGGAAGAUCCAGAGGGUUAGCAUGUUUUUAUUUUCCCUGAAAAUUCAACCAAUUCAUUGUUUUAAAUAGAUCCUGUA
Camelus dromedarius (Arabian camel) is the source of this 917-nucleotide long non-coding RNA. RefSeq lists it as uncharacterized. The record is from RefSeq and is a predicted model, not a curated record. Lineage: Eukaryota; Metazoa; Chordata; Mammalia; Artiodactyla; Camelidae. The transcript has 4 exons.